Molecule: non-coding RNA, 193 nt
Filed under: Nitrospiraceae bacterium
Lineage: Bacteria; Pseudomonadati; Nitrospirota; Nitrospiria; Nitrospirales; Nitrospiraceae
Also listed under: 1 other name
Description: 6S RNA
Rfam family: 6S / SsrS RNA
About the family: E. coli 6S RNA was the first non coding RNA to be sequenced, but its function was unknown until recently.
Source: RNAcentral
GCUUACCUGCCCUGUUAGUGGUUAGGUGAAAGUGUUGAUCCCGCAAAUUAGAUAUUUUGGGAGCCAGCGUAAGGUAAGCGGUGUGCAGGCCUCCCCCAGAAAUGGGAUGAGAGGAAGUCUAAGCUACCUUCAAGGCGCCCACCUGUAGUAACAGGGAUCUAAUUUUUCGCUUACACGGCAGGGUGGGUUUUAA